Molecule: ribosomal RNA, 599 nt
Filed under: Salinicola salarius
Lineage: Bacteria; Pseudomonadati; Pseudomonadota; Gammaproteobacteria; Oceanospirillales; Halomonadaceae
Description: bacterial SSU rRNA
Rfam family: Bacterial small subunit ribosomal RNA
Source: RNAcentral
GCUCCCUGGUGGCGAGCGGCGGACGGGUGAGUAAUGCAUAGGAAUCUGCCCGGUAGUGGGGGAUAACGUGGGGAAACCCACGCUAAUACCGCAUACGUCCUACGGGAGAAAGCAGGGGAUCUUCGGACCUUGCGCUAUCGGAUGAGCCUAUGUCGGAUUAGCUAGUUGGUAAGGUAACGGCUUACCAAGGCGACGAUCCGUAGCUGGUCUGAGAGGAUGAUCAGCCACACUGGGACUGAGACACGGCCCAGACUCCUACGGGAGGCAGCAGUGGGGAAUAUUGGACAAUGGGCGAAAGCCUGAUCCAGCCAUGCCGCGUGUGUGAAGAAGGCUUUCGGGUUGUAAAGCACUUUCAGCGAGGAAGAAAGCCUCUGGGUUAAUACUUCAGAGGAAGGACAUCACUCGCAGAAGAAGCACCGGCUAACUCCGUGCCAGCAGCCGCGGUAAUACGGAGGGUGCGAGCGUUAAUCGGAAUUACUGGGCGUAAAGCGCGCGUAGGUGGCUUGGCACGCCGGUUGUGAAAGCCCCGGGCUCAACCUGGGAACGGCAUCCGGAACGGCCAGGCUAGAGUGCAGGAGAGGAAGGUAGAAUUCCCGGUG